Molecule: ribosomal RNA, 246 nt
Filed under: uncultured bacterium
Lineage: Bacteria
Description: partial 16S ribosomal RNA
Rfam family: Bacterial small subunit ribosomal RNA
Source: RNAcentral
AUACGUAGGUGGCAAGCGUUAUCCGGAAUUAUUGGGCGUAAAGGGUGCGUAGGCGGUUUAUUAAGUCUAUGGUGAAGGUGCGGGGCUCAACCCCGUAUGGCCAUAGAAACUAGUAGACUUGAGUGCAGGAGAGGGCAAUGGAAUUCCAUGUGUAGCGGUAAAAUGCGUAGAUAUAUGGAGGAACACCAGUGGCGAAGGCGGUUGCCUGGCCUGUAACUGACGCUGAAGCACGAAAGCGUGGGGAGC